CCUACGGGUAGCAGCAGUGAGGAAUAUUGGUCAAUGGACGCAAGUCUGAACCAGCCAUGCCGCGUGCAUGAAGACGGCUCUAUGAGUUGUAAACUGCUUUUGUACGAGGGUAAACGCAGAUACGCGUAUCUGUCUGAAAGUAUCGUACGAAUAAGGAUCGGCUAACUCCGUGCCAGCAGCCGCGGUAAUACGGAGGAUUCAAGCGUUAUCCGGAUUUAUUGGGUGUAAAGUGUGCGUAGGCGGUCGGAUAAGUUAGAGGUGAAAUCCCGAGGCUCAACUUCGGAAUUGCAUCUGAUACUGUUAGGCUAGAGAGUAGUUGAGGUAGGCGGAAUGUAAGGUGUAGCGGUGAAAUGCUUAGAGAUCAUACAGAACACCGAUUGCGAAGGCAGCUUACCAAGCUACUUCUGACGUUGAGGCACGAAAGCGUGGGGAGCAAACAGGAUUAGAUACCCGGGUAGUC
RNAcentral lists this ribosomal RNA (460 nucleotides) under uncultured bacterium. Its description in RNAcentral is "partial 16S ribosomal RNA". It matches the Rfam family "Bacterial small subunit ribosomal RNA", at positions 338 to 795 of the family's 1533-position model. The record is from RNAcentral.